CUACGGGUUGCUCCAGUGGGGAAUAUUGGACAAUGGGGGAAACCCUGAUCCAGCAAUGCCGCGUGUGUGAGGAAGGCCUGCGGGUUGUAAAGCACUUUCGGUUGGGAGGACUGCUUCUAGCACUAAUAUUGUUGGAAGUUGACGUUACCUUCAGAAGAAGCACCGGCUAACUCCGUGCCAGCAGCCGCGGUAAUACGGGUGGUGCAAGCGUUAAUCGGAAUUACUGGGCGUAAAGCGCGCGUAGGCGGCUAGAUCAGUCGGGUGUGAAAGCCCCGGGCUUAACCUGGGAACUGCAUCCGAUACUGGCUAGCUUGAGUACAGGAGAGGAGAGUGGAAUUCCGCGUGUAGCGGUGAAAUGCGUAGAUAUGUGGAGGAACACCAAUGGCGAAGGCAGCUCUCUGGCCUGAUACUGACGCUGAGGUGCGAAAGCGUGGGGAGCAAACAGGAUUAGAUACCCCCGUAGUC
This 465-nucleotide ribosomal RNA is filed under the name uncultured bacterium. Its description in RNAcentral is "partial 16S ribosomal RNA". It matches the Rfam family "Bacterial small subunit ribosomal RNA", at positions 339 to 795 of the family's 1533-position model. The record is from RNAcentral.